UGCAGAUGGCGUAUUCUGGACAUCCGGGA
Molecule: non-coding RNA, 29 nt
Filed under: Homo sapiens (human)
Lineage: Eukaryota; Metazoa; Chordata; Mammalia; Primates; Hominidae
Source: RNAcentral